Stegastes partitus (bicolor damselfish) is the source of this 73-nucleotide non-coding RNA. The record is from the annotation of a RefSeq genome assembly. NCBI's taxonomy places the organism in Eukaryota, Metazoa, Chordata, Actinopteri, Pomacentridae.
GUUCCCAUAGUGUAGUGAUUAUCACGUUCGCCUAACACGCGAAAGGUCCUUGCUUCGAAACCGGGCGGGAACA